RNAcentral lists this ribosomal RNA (429 nucleotides) under Gemmatimonadota bacterium. RNAcentral's name for it is "Gemmatimonadetes bacterium partial 16S ribosomal RNA". It matches the Rfam family "Bacterial small subunit ribosomal RNA", at positions 355 to 776 of the family's 1533-position model. Lineage: Bacteria; Pseudomonadati; Gemmatimonadota. The record is from RNAcentral.
UAGGGAAUCUUCGGCAAUGGACGAAAGUCUGACCGAGCAACGCCGCGUGCGUGAAGAAGGUUUUCGGAUCGUAAAACUCUGUUGUUAGAGAAGAACAAGGACGUUAGUAACUGAACGUCCCCUGACGGUAUCUAACCAGACAGCCACGGCUAACUACGUGCCAGCAGCCGCGGUAAUACGUAGGUGGCAAGCGUUGUCCGGAUUGAUUGGGCGUAAAGCGAGCGCAGGCGGUUUCUUAAGUCUGAUGUGAAAGCCCCCGGCUCAACCGGGGAGGGGCAAUGGAAACUGGGGGACUUGAGUGCAGAAGAGGAGAGUGGAAUUGCAUGUGUAGCGGUGAAAUGCGUAGAUAUAGGGAGGAACACCAGUGGCGAAGGCGGCUCUCUGGUCUGUAACUGACGCUGAGGCUCGAAAGCGUGGGGAGCAAACAGG